UACGUAGGGCGCAAGCGUUAUCCGGAAUUAUUGGGCGUAAAGAGCUCGUAGGCGGUUUGUCGCGUCUGCCGUGAAAGUCCGGGGCUCAACUCCGGAUCUGCGGUGGGUACGGGCAGACUAGAGUGAUGUAGGGGGAGACUGGAAUUCCUGGUGUAGCGGUGAAAUGCGCAGAUAUCGGGAGGAACACCAGUAGCGAAGGCGGCACUCUGGGCCGGUACUGACGCUGAUGCGCGAAAGCGUGGGGAGCGAACAGG
This 254-nucleotide ribosomal RNA is filed under the name uncultured bacterium. RNAcentral's name for it is "partial 16S ribosomal RNA". It matches the Rfam family "Bacterial small subunit ribosomal RNA", at positions 524 to 776 of the family's 1533-position model. The record is from RNAcentral.